Molecule: ribosomal RNA, 460 nt
Filed under: uncultured bacterium
Lineage: Bacteria
Description: partial 16S ribosomal RNA
Rfam family: Bacterial small subunit ribosomal RNA
Source: RNAcentral
CCUACGGGAGGCAGCAGUGAGGAAUAUUGGUCAAUGGGCGCGAGCCUGAACCAGCCAAGUAGCGUGAAGGAUGACUGCCCUACGGGUUGUAAACUUCUUUUAUACAGGAAUAAAGUGAGGCACGUGUGCCUUUUUGUAUGUACUUUAUGAAUAAGGUUCGGCUAACUCCGUGCCAGCAGCCGCGGUAAUACGGAGGAUCCGCGCGUUAUCCGGAUUUAUUGGGUUUAAAGGGAGCGUAGAUGGGUUGUUAAGUCAGUUGUGAAAGUUUGCGGCUCAACCGUAAAAUUGCAAUGGAUACUGGCAGCCUUGAGUACAGUUGAGGUAGGCGGAAUUCGUGGUGUAGCGGUGAAAUGCUUAGAUAUCACGAAGAACUCCGAUUGCGAAGGCAGCUUACUAAACUGCCACUGACAUUGAUGCUCUAAAGUGUGGGUAUCAAACAGGAGUAGAUACCCGAGUAGUC